This 949-nucleotide ribosomal RNA is filed under the name Salmonella enterica. RNAcentral describes it as "partial 23S ribosomal RNA". It matches the Rfam family "Bacterial large subunit ribosomal RNA", at positions 1918 to 2861 of the family's 2925-position model. Lineage: Bacteria; Pseudomonadati; Pseudomonadota; Gammaproteobacteria; Enterobacterales; Enterobacteriaceae. RNAcentral also lists the same sequence under 2 other names. The record is from RNAcentral.
CCCCGGUAAACGGCGGCCGUAACUAUAACGGUCCUAAGGUAGCGAAAUUCCUUGUCGGGUAAGUUCCGACCUGCACGAAUGGCGUAAUGAUGGCCAGGCUGUCUCCACCCGAGACUCAGUGAAAUUGAACUCGCUGUGAAGAUGCAGUGUACCCGCGGCAAGACGGAAAGACCCCGUGAACCUUUACUAUAGCUUGACACUGAACAUUGAGCCUUGAUGUGUAGGAUAGGUGGGAGGCUUUGAAGUGUGGACGCCAGUCUGCAUGGAGCCGACCUUGAAAUACCACCCUUUAAUGUUUGAUGUUCUAACGUGGACCCGUAAUCCGGGUUGCGGACAGUGUCUGGUGGGUAGUUUGACUGGGGCGGUCUCCUCCUAAAGAGUAACGGAGGAGCACGAAGGUUGGCUAAUCCUGGUCGGACAUCAGGAGGUUAGUGCAAUGGCAUAAGCCAGCUUGACUGCGAGCGUGACGGCGCGAGCAGGUGCGAAAGCAGGUCAUAGUGAUCCGGUGGUUCUGAAUGGAAGGGCCAUCGCUCAACGGAUAAAAGGUACUCCGGGGAUAACAGGCUGAUACCGCCCAAGAGUUCAUAUCGACGGCGGUGUUUGGCACCUCGAUGUCGGCUCAUCACAUCCUGGGGCUGAAGUAGGUCCCAAGGGUAUGGCUGUUCGCCAUUUAAAGUGGUACGCGAGCUGGGUUUAGAACGUCGUGAGACAGUUCGGUCCCUAUCUGCCGUGGGCGCUGGAGAACUGAGGGGGGCUGCUCCUAGUACGAGAGGACCGGAGUGGACGCAUCACUGGUGUUCGGGUUGUCAUGCCAAUGGCACUGCCCGGUAGCUAAAUGCGGAAGAGAUAAGUGCUGAAAGCAUCUAAGCACGAAACUUGCCCCGAGAUGAGUUCUCCCUGAGACUUAGAGUCUCCUGAAGGAACGUUGAAGACGACGACGUUGAUAGGC